RNAcentral lists this ribosomal RNA (793 nucleotides) under uncultured bacterium. RNAcentral describes it as "bacterial SSU rRNA". It matches the Rfam family "Bacterial small subunit ribosomal RNA", at positions 8 to 796 of the family's 1533-position model. The record is from RNAcentral.
AGAGUUUGAUCAUGGCUCAGGAUGAACGCUAGCGGCAGGCUUAAUACAUGCAAGUCGAGGGGCAGCACGGGUAGCAAUACCUGGUGGCGACCGGCAAACGGGUGCGGAACACGUACACAACCUUCCUUUCGGUGGGGGAUAGCCCAGAGAAAUUUGGAUUAAUACCCCAUAAUAUAUUGUGGUUGCAUAACUGUGAUAUUAAAGAUUUAUUGCCGGAAGAUGGGUGUGCGUAUGAUUAGGUAGUUGGUUGAGGUAACGGCUCACCAAGCCUUCGAUCAUUAACUGGUGUGAGAGCACGACCAGUCACACGGGCACUGAGACACGGGCCCGACUCCUACGGGAGGCAGCAGUAAGGAAUAUUGGUCAAUGGACGCAAGUCUGAACCAGCCAUGCCGCGUGAAGGAUGACGGCCCUCUGGGUUGUAAACUUCUUUUAUGUGGGACGAAAAAAGGGAAUUCUUUCCCGUCUGACGGUACCAUAUGAAUAAGCACCGGCUAACUCCGUGCCAGCAGCCGCGGUAAUACGGAGGGUGCAAGCGUUAUCCGGAUUCACUGGGUUUAAAGGGAGCGCAGGCGGAUUGGUAAGUCAGUGGUGAAAGGCUUAAGCUUAACUUGGGAACUGCCAUUGAUACUAUCAGUCUUGAAUGUUGUUGAGGUUUGCGGAAUGGGUCUGUAGCGGUGAAAUGCAUAGAUAUGACCCGGAACACCUAUUGCGAAGGCAGCAGGCUAAACAAAUAUUGACGCUGAGGCUCGAAAGCGUGGGGAUCAAACAGGAUUAGAUACCCUCGUAGUCC